RNAcentral lists this ribosomal RNA (331 nucleotides) under uncultured bacterium. RNAcentral describes it as "bacterial SSU rRNA". It matches the Rfam family "Bacterial small subunit ribosomal RNA", at positions 568 to 898 of the family's 1533-position model. The record is from RNAcentral.
UGUGUAGGUGGUGCUCUAAGUUUGGUGUGAAAUCUCCCGGCUUAACUGGGAGGGUGCGCCGAAAACUGGAGUGCUUGAGUAUGGGAGAGGUAAGCGGAAUUCCUGGUGUAGCGGUGAAAUGCGUAGAUAUCAGGAGGAACACCUGUGGUGUAGACAGCUUGCUGGACCAUCACUGACACUGAGACACGAAAGCGUGGGUAGCAAACAGGAUUAGAUACCCUGGUAGUCCACGCCCUAAACGAUGCAUACUUGGUGUGAGCCAUUCAUUUUGGUUCGUGCCGGAGCUAACGCGUUAAGUAUGCCGCCUGGGGAGUACGGUCGCAAGGCUGAA